RNAcentral lists this transfer RNA (63 nucleotides) under Phaneroptera nigroantennata. RNAcentral describes it as "tRNA-Arg". Lineage: Eukaryota; Metazoa; Arthropoda; Insecta; Orthoptera; Tettigoniidae. The record is from RNAcentral.
AAAUAAGAAGCGAUCAAUCGCAUUCAGUUUCGACCUGAAUUUAGAUGAAACCAUCCUUAUUUA